GUGCCAGCAGCCGCGGUAAUACGUAGGUGGCAAGCGUUACUCGGAAUCACUAGGCGUAAAGCGCAGGUAGGCGGUUUGGUUAGUUUCUUGUGAAAGCUCCCGGCUUAACUGGGAGAGGCCAAGGAAUACUGCCAGGCUAGAGUGUGGUAGAGGAAGCUGGAAUUCCCGGUGUAGCGGUGAAAUGCGUAGAUAUCGGGAGGAAUACCUAUGGCGAAAGCAGGCUUCUGGGCCAUCACUGACGCUGAGCUGCGAAAGCUAGGGGAGCAAACAGGAUUAGAAACCCCUGUAGUCC
This 292-nucleotide ribosomal RNA is filed under the name uncultured bacterium. RNAcentral describes it as "partial 16S ribosomal RNA". It matches the Rfam family "Bacterial small subunit ribosomal RNA", at positions 505 to 796 of the family's 1533-position model. The record is from RNAcentral.